Non-coding RNA from Macaca mulatta (Rhesus monkey), 83 nucleotides. NCBI's taxonomy places the organism in Eukaryota, Metazoa, Chordata, Mammalia, Primates, Cercopithecidae. The record is from Rfam.
AUAUACCACAGUUUGUUUGACCAUUAACCUGUUUGUUGAAGAUGCCUUUCAACGGGUGACUGGUUAGACAAACUGUGGUAUAU